RNAcentral lists this ribosomal RNA (460 nucleotides) under uncultured bacterium. RNAcentral describes it as "partial 16S ribosomal RNA". It matches the Rfam family "Bacterial small subunit ribosomal RNA", at positions 338 to 795 of the family's 1533-position model. The record is from RNAcentral.
CCUACGGGAGGCAGCAGUGAGGAAUAUUGGUCAAUGGACGAGAGUCUGAACCAGCCAAGUAGCGUGAAGGAUGACUGCCCUAUGGGUUGUAAACUUCUUUUAUAUGGGAAUAAAAUAGGGCAUGUAUACCUUUUUGUAUGUACUAUAUGAAUAAGGAUCGGCUAACUCCGUGCCAGCAGCCGCGGUAAUACGGAGGAUCCGAGCGUUAUCCGGAUUUAUUGGGUUUAAAGGGAGCGUAGGUGGGUUGUUAAGUCAGUUGUGAAAGUUUGCGGCUCAACCGUAAAAUUGCAAUUGAAACUGGCAGUCUUGAGUACAGUAGAGGUAGGCGGAAUUCGUGGUGUAGCGGUGAAAUGCUUAGAUAUCACGAAGAACUCCGAUUGCGAAGGCAGCUCACUAGACUGCAACUGACACUGAUGCUCGAAAGUGUGGGUAUCAAACAGGAUUAGAUACCCCAGUAGUC